UCUGACUGGCGCCGAUACUCUGGCAACAGAGCGCCGGAUGCCGGAAAGUUGGUCAAACUUGAUCAUUUAGAGGAAGUAAAAGUCGUAACAAGGUUUCCGUAGGUGAACCUGCGGAAGGAUCAUUACCGAUACAAUCCAAGAACAACUCCGUUGUUUGCUCUGUGAACUGUACCUAACCAUUAGGGGUCGGCCAGGCCGUUAAAUGGCGGUCGGACGCGAGACAGCAAAUCGCGGCCGCUCCGCCAGCCCCGCCAGUGUUUUUCACAACGUACGUGUCUAGUGUCUGAUGGUACGGCGGUGGUCGCCGAGAGCUUGAAAAAAUGCAAGAGACAACUUUUGACGGUGGAUCUCUUGGCUCACGCAUCGAUGAAGAACGCAGCCAGCUGCGAUAAGUAGUGUGAAUUGCAGAAUUCAGUGAAUCAUCGAAUCUUUGAACGCAAAUGGCGCUCUUGGGUUCUCCCAGGAGCAUGUCUGUCUGAGUGUCGGAUAUCAUCCAUCGCGUGCACGCUUGCCGUGCUUGCGGCGUUGAGGCGUCACGGCCACCACUGGCCGUGUCCCUUGAAAGACAGAGAGACUCGCUGUGGCUCGUGGGUUUCCCUGCAGCACACCGGCGGAGGCUAAAAGUCUUGCUUGUCCUUCGCGUGCUGGCCGGGUCCCCGCCGCGGCAGUCGCAGAGGCGAACCGACGCUAGUCGGUGCACUUUCUUGACCUCAGAUCAGGCAAGGCUACCCGCUGAAUUUAAGCAUAUUAAUAAGCGGAGGAAAAGAAACUAACAAGGAUUCCCCCAGUAACGGCGAGUGAAGCGGGAAGAGCUCAAAUUUGAAAUCUCCGAUGCUUGCAUCGGCGAAUUGUAGUUGCGAGAAGCACUUUCUAGGCGGAUCGGUGGUGC
RNAcentral lists this ribosomal RNA (889 nucleotides) under Montastraea cavernosa (great star coral). RNAcentral describes it as "eukaryotic LSU rRNA". The stretch from base 332 to 485 matches the Rfam family "5.8S ribosomal RNA". The record is from RNAcentral. Lineage: Eukaryota; Metazoa; Cnidaria; Anthozoa; Scleractinia; Montastraeidae.